UGCGAAGGGGGCUAGCGUUGCUCGGAAUCACUGGGCGUAAAGGGUGCGUAGGCGGGUCUUUAAGUCAGGGGUGAAAUCCUGGAGCUCAACUCCAGAACUGCCUUUGAUACUGAGGAUCUUGAGUUCGGGAGAGGUGAGUGGAACUGCGAGUGUAGAGGUGAAAUUCGUAGAUAUUCGCAAGAACACCAGUGGCGAAGGCGGCUCACUGGCUCAUUACUGACGCUCAGGCGCGAUAGCGUGGGGAUCAAACAGG
Molecule: ribosomal RNA, 253 nt
Filed under: uncultured bacterium
Lineage: Bacteria
Description: partial 16S ribosomal RNA
Rfam family: Bacterial small subunit ribosomal RNA
Source: RNAcentral